CGCAGCGUCGCGUCGUGAAGGAGACGUUUUCCCCUAAGUGUACGUUUAAUAAAAAGGAUACAGUGAAAUUAUAAAUGAAAGCGUUAUCAGGAUACAUCGAUCGUUAUAGUCGUAGCUAGGGUCUUGCACGGUCCGUAGCGUCACGGAACCGUAGCCCGCCUCUGUGUACAACCGCUGUGUAUCGCUCCGCGUCGCUGAUCGAACGCUCGACAAUUCGAUUAUUUUGCGAUCUGCGAUCCCGUGAUCACGUUUCACGCUUCAACCUAUGUUACGGGCUUUCCUUCGCCAAAAGAGAUCCCUUUUUCGGAUGGGAAUCGCGCUGAAGAGGUUUUGAAAUUGGAUCGAAUCGAGGAGAUGGUAUUACCGUGGUUGGAAAAAUAGAUAUGAAUUUGGUAAAAGUGUUUCAUUUCUUGGAUAAUAGACAGAGGAAUAAACACGAUGCCGAAGAAGUAAGGACCAGUCCCAGCAGCCAUAAAUCAAGCAAAGGGACGUGGAACUGUGAAACAACCAUCCUGUUUAUGUCCUUCCGGAAGUCACGUCUUGAUCUAACCAAAUAGAAUUUAAAAAAGACGUAGAAAUUAGAAAUUAGAAUCUUUAUCAUAGUUUAUAUGUCACUGAACAUUAAAAAUAAUAUUGUAAUACUGUGCAACGAUA
Long non-coding RNA from Bombus pyrosoma, 654 nucleotides. RefSeq lists it as uncharacterized. The transcript has 3 exons. The record is from RefSeq and is a predicted model, not a curated record. Lineage: Eukaryota; Metazoa; Arthropoda; Insecta; Hymenoptera; Apidae.